Molecule: long non-coding RNA, 623 nt
Organism: Lonchura striata (white-rumped munia)
Lineage: Eukaryota; Metazoa; Chordata; Aves; Passeriformes; Estrildidae
Source: RefSeq, a predicted model, not a curated record
UCAGCUUGGGGAUAUGGUUUUAGUGGACCUUUGGUUGGGGUUUUCUUCCAAGCCUGUCUGAAACCCUUCAAAACCUCGUUUUUUCAGUGGUGGCUUUUGCAUUUCUCUUUAUAUAACAAACUUCUGCAUUGCUCCUACUCCAGGACCUAAAAGCACAACUGUGAAAUCAGAUUUCCUGCUGCUGUCUUUGACUCAGCCAAGGCCAGGGAAUCCAUAAUGUCUCUGCCCACCAGGAAGAAGAGGAGUCCAGAGAGUAACACCAGGGGCACCCCGGCGGCGGCGAACAUGAAGGACCACCCGUAGUAGACGUGCACGGGGACAUCAUCCAGGCACCUCUCGCUCCUCUCCAGGAGGAUGUACUUCUGAAAGUCAGCUGCAAACUCCUUCCACAUCACAAAGAGAAACACGAGCAGGAGAAACAAACCUCCUGGGAAGAGAGACAAAACGGAGUUAUUGUCUGUGCAAGAAAUACAGGGCUAAAGGUUCCUGAGGAAGCUGAGGUCACUGGCCAUGGGAGAGCCCCACACCACAGCGACCAGUUCCUGCCCUCUGACACCUCGUGCUUUGGCCACCAGCUCUUCUGAAGGCUCUGCUUCAGCAGGACCAGGCCAUGGAGAAGGCAC